RNAcentral lists this ribosomal RNA (238 nucleotides) under uncultured bacterium. RNAcentral's name for it is "partial 16S ribosomal RNA". It matches the Rfam family "Bacterial small subunit ribosomal RNA", at positions 96 to 334 of the family's 1533-position model. The record is from RNAcentral.
CGGCGGACGGGUGAGUAACGCGUGGGUAACCUGCCUCAUACAGGGGGAUAACAGUUGGAAACGGCUGCUAAUACCGCAUAAGCGCACAGUACCGCAUGGUACCGUGUGAAAAACUCCGGUGGUAUGAGAUGGACCCGCGUCUGAUUAGCUAGUUGGUGGGGUAACGGCCUACCAAGGCGACGAUCAGUAGCCGACCUGAGAGGAUGACCGGCCACAUUGGGACUGAGACACGGCCCAA